AUUGACACUUUUCAAAACCUAACCCUCCUCUUGUUCUUCUCCUGCUGCUUGUUUGUUUUAUAAAGAUAAAAGAAUAUAGUUUGUGGGUGGGAGAAAAAUCUAUCCGAGAACAACUCCUGCUUACUUUGUUUGUGUAGGUGUGAAAAAAGUUCGUGAGAGAAAAUAAAAUACAAAGUAGGAAAGGGAAAGGGAACACAAUACAAUAUAUGCUCUGAUUUAAGAUUGUUACUACCUCCGGAAUGGAGUCCCCAACUGAAUCGGAUGACGAUGAAGACCCUCAAAUUGCUUGUCACACAAUUUUGGCUUUGGUGGUUUUAGGGAAAAUGAAAUAGAGUUUGGCCUUUGGAUGAUGAUAGUGCAGUUACUGCAGCUUGAAGUUUGUUUUAUUAUAACUUUGUCCAAACUUCCAUGUCUGCCUUUGAAACGAGCAUGGAUCCUCCAGCUUAUUAAUAAGCACUCAAAUCUUCAUCCAGCAUAGUAUUUCCGUUCCUUGUUCACACAAACGUAGUUGCUCCAAUCCUUAACUCCUUCAAACGGAUGCACUCACUCCACCUGCGUCCACCUUCUCCGACUUCUCAGGUUUUACCUUCACAGACGGUAGCCACCACUAUCUCCGACUUUGUCUUCGACUCCUCAGGACAAUGGUUUUGGAAGUAGGCAAGGGGAUACCUGGGAAAAGGUCAACCAGAUUCGGGAUAAAUUUGAGUAUGACAGAGAAAGGAGAAUGAGAGAGAAAGCAUUUGCACCCAUGUCUGGAGAAGCUCCUUCUAACUUCCAUGAUAUGAAUUCCCCGAGGCAGCCUGACUUACAUGAUAUGAACUCCCGGAGACAGCCAUUUGAUGCCCAGAGAUACUUCUCGGAUUCUGAAAGAGAGUGAAGAAGAACUUCUAAUGGUCUAUGCACUUAUGUAUGUACACGACAAGAGGCUUGGAAAGGCGCAGCAUUUCCUUUUCAUCUCUUCCUCGACUGUCACUGUGAUGACUUCUGGUAUCUGUACUACUACCCACAACAGGCAGCUUGUUCUUGUAGCGGUUGGCAGGUUUGAAUCGAUUGAUAUUGCUCUUUGAAAAUGCAUAGGAGUUUUGAUAUUUUAAUCCCAUCAGAAUUGCAUAUUGUAUACGUAUUAGCCAAAUUAUGAUUUAUGCAGUUUGUGUUGUUACUAAUUACUAUUUGUUAUUCUUGAAUAAUUGGCGACAAAUCAAACUAAAUGGAUUAAAGUGCAAAUCUACUCAAA
Molecule: long non-coding RNA, 1234 nt
Organism: Malus domestica (apple)
Lineage: Eukaryota; Viridiplantae; Streptophyta; Magnoliopsida; Rosales; Rosaceae
Source: RefSeq, a predicted model, not a curated record